UGUCAUGCAUGGAAUGGCUGGUUUUCAACUGUGUGGAAAGAACUAUUCUCAUACAGAAAAGAUAAAAUCAACCUUUACUUUCAAAAUUUUGGCAAAAACCACAAAUCAUCAACUCCAAGAAUAGGUUAAAGAAAAGUCAGGACAAAACAUUCAGCACUAUUUGACCAGGCCAGCAGCCAGCCACUUAAUUAGACAUGCAUAAACCUUUGCAGUAAGAAGAACCAUCAUAUGACAUUUCCAUCAGCGCUGCUCAUAAGGAAAAGUCCAUUUGGUUGAACCACUGAACAUUAUCUACGAGUUCACCUGUCUUUUACAGUUUAUUACUGACCAGAGUUGGGAUUUGAAAUACUUACAUGACUA
This 360-nucleotide unclassified non-coding RNA is filed under the name Hevea brasiliensis (rubber tree). The record is from RNAcentral. Lineage: Eukaryota; Viridiplantae; Streptophyta; Magnoliopsida; Malpighiales; Euphorbiaceae.